Leclercia adecarboxylata is the source of this 106-nucleotide non-coding RNA. NCBI's taxonomy places the organism in Bacteria, Pseudomonadati, Pseudomonadota, Gammaproteobacteria, Enterobacterales, Enterobacteriaceae. The record is from Rfam.
GUGCGGCCUAAAUUUUCCGGCUACGCCAUUAUCUUAAAAAAACAUCUUCAGGCGCAGCCACGAUUUCCCUGGUGUUGGCGCAGUAUUCGCGCACCCCGGUUUAGCC